RNAcentral lists this ribosomal RNA (1432 nucleotides) under metagenome. Its description in RNAcentral is "bacterial SSU rRNA". It matches the Rfam family "Archaeal small subunit ribosomal RNA". The record is from RNAcentral.
GCUGAUCCUGCGGGAGACUGCUGCUAUUGGAAUUCGAUUUAGCCAUGCAAGUCUAGGGGCUCUUCGGAGCACCGGCAGAAUGCUCAGUAACACGUCGAUAACCUACCCUUAGGUUCGGGAUAACCUCGGAAAACUGAGGGUAAUACCGAAUAGAAGAAUUUUUCUGGAAUGAUUUUUCUUUGAAAAGUAAUGCCUAAGGAUGGGUCGGCGGCGGAUUAGGUUGUUGGUGGGGUAACGGCCCACCAAGCCGAAGAUCCGUAGGGGUCUUGAGAGAGAUAGCCCCGAGAAGGACACUGAGAUACUGGUCCUAGCCCCACGUGGUGCAGCAGGCGCGAAACCUUUACAAUGCACGAAAGUGUGAUAGGGGAAUUCCAAGUGCCAAUACUUUGUAUUGGCUUUUUUUCAAGAUUAAGAAUCUUGGAGAAUAAGUGGUGGGUAAGACUGGUGGCAGCCGCCGCGGUAACACCAGCGCCACUAGUGGGAGUCGUUUUUAUUGGGCCUAAAGCGUCCGUAGCCGGUUUGGAAAAUCCUUUGCGAAAUUGUCAAGCUCAACUUGACAGCGAGCAGGGGACACUACCAAACUCGAGACCGGGAGGGGUUGAAGGUAUGUUCAGGGGAGCGGUAAAAUGCUAUAAUCCCUUACAGACCACCUGUGGCGAAGGCGUUCAACCAGAACGGAUCUGACGGUGAGGGACGAAAGCCAGGGGAGCAAACCGGAUUAGAUACCCGAGUAGUCCUGGCAGUAAACUCUGCGAGCUAGGUGUUGCAUAUUCUUAGUGAAUGUGCAGUGUCGAAGCGAAGGUGCUAAGCUCGCCGCCUGGGAAGUAUGGUCGCAAGACUGAAACUUAAAGGAAUUGGCGGGGGAGCACUACAAGGGGUGCGGCGUGCGGUUUAAUCUAACUCAACACAGAGAAUCUCACCAGAAGCGACGGCAGGAUGAAAGUCAGGUUGAAGGCCUUACUUGACGAGCCGAGAGGUAGUGCAUGGCCGUCGUCAGCUCGUGCCGUAAGGUGUCCUCUUAAGUGAGGCAACGAGCGAGACCUGUACUCACAAUUGCUAACGACCUCAUCGAGGGAUUGAGCACUUUGUGAGGACUGCCCUGGAAACAGGGAGGAAGGUGCAGGCUACGGUAGGUCUGUAUGCUCCGAAUCUUCUGGGCUACACGCGCGCAACAAUGGUAGGGACAAUGGGAUGCGACUCCGAAAGGAGAAGCUAAACCUCUAAACCCUAUCCCAGUCCAGAUUGAGGGCUGCAACUCGCCCUCAUGACGUCGGAAUCCCUAGUAAUCGGAUAUCAUCAAUGUCCGGUGAAUGUGUCCCUGCUCCUUGCACGCACCGCCCGUCAAACCAACCGAGCAGGGUUUAGAUGAGUUUUAGCUUCUUAGCUAAACCGAAUCUAAGCUCAGUGAGGUGGGUUAAGUCGUCACAAGGUA